GGAAAGGCGUCUGUUGAAGUGUUAAGUUGUAACCUUAGUUAUAGGAAUAAAAAUUUCCUUCUUUCUA
This 67-nucleotide transfer RNA is filed under the name Meretrix meretrix (Asiatic hard clam). RNAcentral describes it as "tRNA-Tyr". Lineage: Eukaryota; Metazoa; Mollusca; Bivalvia; Venerida; Veneridae. The record is from RNAcentral. RNAcentral also lists the same sequence under 1 other name.